This is a long non-coding RNA of Onychostoma macrolepis, 2645 nucleotides long. RefSeq lists it as uncharacterized. The record is from RefSeq and is a predicted model, not a curated record. The transcript has 5 exons. NCBI's taxonomy places the organism in Eukaryota, Metazoa, Chordata, Actinopteri, Cypriniformes, Cyprinidae.
UGUUGUUUCUUGAAAAAAAAAAAAAAAAAAAAUCAUCUGUGUUUAUCAAACUCACUUAACAAUUUAAUUUCUGAGUUUAAUUCCCAAGAUUUACAAUUUAAUUUCCAAGACUUUGUUUGAUUAUUUUAUUUUAUUGAUAACACUUUAUUUUAAUGUUCAAUUCUCAAUAUUAACUAGUUGCUUAUUAGUAUGCAUAUUAGCAGCAUAAUGGCUGUUUAAUAGUACGUAUAAAGCACAUUUAAAUGCCUUAUUCUGCAUGACCAUGUUCUAGUUCUCUUAACCCGACCCAAUACCUAAACUUAACAAACUAACUUACUAACUAUUAAUAAGCAACAAAUUAGGACUUUAUUGAGGGAAACCCCUUAGUUAAUAGGGAAUAUGUGUUACCUAUUCUAAAGUGUUACCAUUUCAUUUUAUUUAAUUUUGUUUUAUUUUAUUAUUUUAUUUUCAGUGUUCCAAGAAACACUGGAGCACAAAAGAUGUUUCCAGAAUGUUGCAGUGAAAAUUGUGACUCAUUUUAUGUUCAGUGGAAGAAAGAAAGCCAAAGCUGCUUUGGAACAGCAAGUAAAUAAUGGCAAGAUCUUCAUUCUUGGUCCCUUUUCUGCUGUUGCCUAACAAACAGCUCCUUACACCUGUUUUGCCAUCCAUAUCAAGCUGUGUUGAGCUACUGAAUGCUAAUCCAAUUGAGAUCCGGCAUGAACAAACCACAUUUUUACGUGUCAGUGGACUUCCACUCUUUACCUCCUUUAUUUAUCCAGCCUCCUUGGAAGAGGUCAGAGGUCAGCCAGUGCUCAAAGAGAAGUUCUGUUCCCCCACGAUGAGACAUGACGGCAGUGUUUUCAUUAGCAGUUAAUGAUGACAGACAGUCAUGCGUGAGAGACACCAGCCUGCAGAGUCACGCAAGGCUUCUGAGUCGGAAGACACAUCAUGAAAAUGUUUUUUUUAUUUUUGGCACGAAGAGCACAGACCUUCUGAAAACAUAAUUCUAGGAAAUCAGCUCACCAUGAUAUAGGGGAAGCGACCAACUUUAUCCCCCACAUACUCUUGGCAUACAAGUUUAUUUCUGGCUUACAGUUUUUUUUGGUUUUUUUUACUAAUAUUUGUAAUAUUUGUUAUUAAAAUUAAUUGGCAAAUUACAGAUGAGACAGCCCAUAGUACCAUGUUGACAAUUUGGUUCCCAGCAUGCACUGUGGAAUGAAUUAAAUAAGCAGUUGAAUUUUUUAAUUAUUUGCUGAUUUAUUUUUCUGUUGUUGUUGUUUUUUUUUUUUUUUUCUUAUUUUAUUUUAAGUUAAAAAGGUACAAAAGGUAUUUUCACUGGGACUGUACCCUUUCAAAAUGUACUAAUUUGUACACUUUCGGUACUAAUAUGUACGUUUAUAGUACUAUUAAGGUAAUAAUAUGUACCAUUUAGGGGUGAAUAAGGUACAACUGUUUACCUUUUAGCUUUUGUACUUUAUGGUAGUGUCCCUGUGACAGUUUUGUACAAACUUUUUUCUGAGAGUGAAAAACUUAAAUUAAUAAUAUAAAAUAAUAAAAUUAAUGAAAUUAAAAUUGAAUUGAAAAUAGAAAAUAUUAAAAUAAAAUAAAUUCAAAACAAUAACCAAAACUAUAAUAGCAUAACACUGAUUGAGACAAGUUUUCAGGCCUUGCAUAGACAUUUUUUAUUUUAUUUUUUAAAAAUUUUAUUUAUUUUUUUAUUUUACUGAAUAUAUUGUAAGACAUUAGUGUUAAAUCUUGAAAAAUGUGGGCAAUUUUGCAUAUAGUAUACAUAAGAAGUAUAUAUAACACAAAUACAUAAACUGUUCCUUGGAAAAGAAUUCAACAGAUCUUACAAAGCAUGAGAGUAUUAUGCAGAGCAGAUCGUUUGUCGCGUGCGGAGAGGGUAGAGAUGUGACUAAUCAACAUGGUAAUUAUUUCUGCACUGGCAUGAAUUCUUUUUUUUUCUUGCGUUUCGUCUCUCGUUAUUUCUGUCUUUCUUUUGUUUCAAGGAACUUGCGUGACAUUGAGCAGAGUGAGGAGGAGGAAGAAAAAUCCCCGUUUGGCAAGACACGGCUACAUGCUGAAUUUUCCCUACAGCUAGUAAUAUCUGAAGUUCUGCCUGCCCUCACAGUAUUGUUUGAGGGAGGAAUUCGUAUCAUUUCCUCUGGACUUUUUUGUUGUCAUUAAUACAUCAUUCUUUUUUGGUGGUUUAUGGUACAAUAAUGCGCCGGGAUCAUGAGUGUGUGGUACCACACCAACGGCCUGGAAGAACAAUGCUACAGUAGAGCAGGUCACAACCGAGCAUGGUAUUGCUUUCUCCAUGAAGGAUAGCUGUGGUAUGCAUGGAAAUUCUUGCUGGUCUUUUUGCUAGUGUUUGUAACGGUAAUCAACAGCUUGAGGAGGGAGAAAACAGCCAGCGUUCAGCUGGAGUGACUUCAGCGUUGAGUGAUAUACAAUCACUAAUCAUAAAGGAUGCAGGAACUUCCCCUCUACAUUCUCAGUCUCUGACUGAGGGCCUCGUUCACUUCUGCCUGUCCAACUGUGCAGGUGUUAUCUGAGCUAUUUAAACAGAAGGUGACCCGAACGCCGUGCUGUCUGUGGGGGAGGCUUGUGCUGAACACAGAGAUCGCGUGUGACUGGAGACCUGGCCACCCACUGAGCUGAAA